Molecule: long non-coding RNA, 5690 nt
Organism: Pogoniulus pusillus (Red-fronted tinkerbird)
Lineage: Eukaryota; Metazoa; Chordata; Aves; Piciformes; Lybiidae
Exons: 6
Source: RefSeq, a predicted model, not a curated record
UGUGCCUGUAUCUUGGCAGAAGUUGGAAAAGCAAAUCAUUUCUUGCUACUGUUAGAACUGCAUCUUCAGGGUCACCUUCUGGCUGUCCUCGGAUUUUGGCAAACGCACUUCAAAGAAGAUGCUGUUCUUCACUAAACUGGAUGUGGGCUCAAUGUCAACCUCCACCACAAAUCUUUGUUCCACAGAGUCUCUUGAAAUCACUUCAACAAAAACAGACUUGGAAAUUGUGUCAUCUUCGCUACUUUUAUCUGCUGGAUCACAGCUGUCUCCAGUUGAAGUGUUUAGAGCUGAGGUAUUUCUGCAUCUUCCUGGAUCUGUCUGUGCACUGGCUGUGUCAGAUGUCGUGCUGGUGCAACUGGGUCUUGCUGGAGCUGUGUAUGCAUUCGGAGGUGUCUGUGUGUUGGCUGUGUCAGAUGUGCUGGCGGAACUGGGUCUUGUUGGAGCUUUGUGUGCAGCCAGAGUUGUCUGUGUGUUGGCUGUGUCAGAUGUGCUGGCGGAACUGGGUCUUGUUGGAGCUUUGUGUGCAGCCAGAGUUGUCUGUGUGUUGGCUGUGUCAGAUGUGCUGGUGGAACUGGGUCUUGCUGGAGCUUUGUGUGCAGCCAGAGUUGUCUGUGUGUUGGCCAUGUCAGAUGUUGUGCUGCCGGAACGCUUGGCUUGCUGUGUGUGAAGGUGGAGCUGCCGAAGUUCAUUUCUCUUACGGAUUAACAUAUGGAUUUGGCCUCCCUUCAUACCUAUGCCUUUGAGGAAAGCCUCAUCCACUUCCAUCAGCACGGGACCUGUCACUUCUUCUGCACAGAGUUUUUCUACAUACUCCUGCUUGAUUCCAGUAGAUUCUAGCCAGCCUCGGACAUGGGUCUCAUCCCAUUCGUUCACAGGUAGUGUUUUGUAAUCUGGAAGUUAAAAUUACAUCAUAGCAAUGCAGACUGAAAACACAUCAGUGUGCUUGAUAAGCUGUCAUCAUCCUUGCCAGGGAAUGAUCCUUUGCUUUCUCCUAGGCAUAGUGAUAGACUGUGUCUUAGCUUUUCAGGUAUGUCGGUUCUGAUGUCCUUAACCUUAAUGAAAAGCGGUCCUGAGCAGUGGUACCAGAUAAAUAAAUUAGGCAAGCAGGAAAUCAUGAUGGAGCUUUGGAAGUGAGCCUCAAAGGGAGUCAUGUGAGUAACCCAUAAUGGCUAAGGUUAUCAGAACUUAGAGGGGGUGAGCUAUGUAAACUAGAGAGGUUUGGGUAGAUCAUUUGAGUCAAUUUAUUUUCUGCUAAAUGAGAUGGUGUUACAAGUACUCACUAGUUCCCCAUUAGAGAUGAACCCUUAAAAUGCAGAUAUUAAAUGCAAAUUACUACAUAUGAAGUACAAGUUUUCUGAAUAUAACACAUACCCAUUGCCUUUGAUGAGGGAAAUCCUCUUGGUAACGAACAAAACCCUAAAGGGGGAGAAAACAAUUUGUCUUUAGAUUUACAGUUAGCAUUCCUGUGUUAAAGCUCCUCCUCCACACUGUUCUGUCCAUGAUACUUUCUGCACCUCUAAAAGCCUGCUCUUGCCAGCUGCUCUGCCUAUACACCUGUGCUGUGGUGUUGUGUUUUUUUGUUUAAGAGCAGGACAGACUUAGAUUUUUCUGCUUUACUCCUUUUAAAGAAAAAGGGUAGUAAAAUAAUAACACACUGAAUUGGAGAAAAACACAGAAAAGUUGUGUAAUACAGAAAGAUGCUGGAGUGGGUGCAGAGAAGGGCAACGAGGCUGGGGAGAGAUCUGGCAAACAUGACCUGUGAGGAGCAGCUGAGGGAGCUGGGGGUGUUUAGUCUGGAGAAGAGAAGGCUGAGAGGGGACCUUAUUGCCCUCUACAACUACCUAAAAGGAGGUUGUAGUGAGGCUGGAGCUGGUCUCUUCUCCCAAAUUAUUAAUGAUAGGACAAGGGGAAAUGGCCUCAAGUUGCGUCAGGGGAGGUUUAGGUUGGAUGUUUGGAGGAAGCUCUUUCCUGAGCAGGUGGUCAGGCCCUGGAACAGGCUGCCCAGAGAGGUGGUGAAGUCACCAUCCCUGGAGGUGUUUAAGAGGAGAGUGGAUAUGGCACUUGAGGCUAUGAUCUCUGGUGAUUAAGGAUGAUCCUGGUGGAUCCAACCAUAGCGAUUGAUAGCAUUUAAAAAUGUGCAGGAACAGAUACAGCAUACAUGAAUCCUUAACACCUAAUACAGGCACAGGAUACAUAAGAAUUCCCCCAAAACCUUCCCCCAACCAAACCAAAACUACCAAAACCCCACUGCUCAUUUUCUCCCGUGCCUUAUUAUCUCUCAGUUAGGCCCCAAGCAGGCCGAACUCACUGUGACCUGUGGCCUUGAAGGCUGCAGCCUGCAGGGUGUGUUUACACAGUUACCCAGAUAGGGGUCCCUCUGGAAAGCUGGAAAGGAAAAGGGAGAAAAGAGAGCUAAUUGACCUUGCUGCUUACUUUUAAAGUGUUUGCAGGAUGUGAAUAACACAUAUCUGGGGAUGACCAUUUCAUCCCCUGGCACACAUCUUGGUCUCUAAUAGUUUUUUCAGGAAAUCAGGGAUGACCUGGAACCCCUCAAACCACCACAUGUGUGAAGGCAGCUGCUCUGGCUGUGACACGGGUGUGAAGGAGCGAGGGUUUUGCUGGAGAAGUGUCUGAGAGCUGUGCUUACCUAUCAGCUCCUUCUGUUAGGUAGUGGAGAAGGAGUCCUAGAGCCAGCUACACAGUAGCUCUUGCUUUUUUAUUGCUCUUUUUUCUCUUAUUUUCCCUGCUUCUUUCUCCCUCACACUCUUCUUUUCCUCCCUUUUAUUUGCAGGCACUCUUCCCCUCUGCCACCACCACCUCUAUUUUUUUUCUUGCACACCAGUUCUGGUGUUCAUUUUCUGUGAAGCAGUUUGACUCUGCCCAACCCACCUGAAGUGUCUUUUACUGGGCUGGCCUGGCCCAAUACAUAACAUCUCUGCCUUGCUUAGGCUCCAUUCCCAGGAUAUAAAGGUGGACUGCAGCACAUAUAGUUCUGUACUGAGGAGAAAAUGUGAAAUAGUCCUGCUCAGACUAGCGCCAGAUGUAUAAAUAGAUUGUCACAGUCAUCAGUAACCAUCUGUGAGGUACAGACUAGUCAAGAAGGGUGUUGUGGUAGGCCUGGAUAAGUCAACAUAGGCUUAUAUACAUGUACUGGCUUGCCCAGACAUGUUUUUCUGCUCUACCUCCUCCUGCUAUUGGGAAAAGUAACAGUGGGAAAGAGGACAAAGAACCUGGAGCCACUGAGGCUAAGGCCUUUGGUAAACAUCCUGUGGUAAAAAAGGUACACAGGCUUAGCUUGUGCCUGCCUUGUACAAGGCCUGUGGUCAAGCUUGGAUAACUGCCAUUCUGAUCAGCUACUCCAUGUCCAAAGAUCCAUUAGUCUUGGGCUGUAUUGAUAAGAGAGAUGAGCAGGUAACAAACAUGGUCUGACGUUGUAUUCGUGCUUGCUUGCCUGCUGCCAUUGCUUACUGCCUUACUGCAUCCUGAACUGCCUGGAAACUGCCUGCCUCGAGCUUACCAGGAGCAGGCUCUCAGUGCCUCCACGCAAUCGGCCUGUGUAGCCAGCGUGACAUCACGCUAAGACUGCACAUCAUGAGACAUCCUGCCUACACCUGAAACUCUCCUGCCAAGAUGAGAAGUCCUGGAGACACGCUGAUCAUCCAGAGAAUCCACCAUCAGACCGAGAUUGUCUGUCUCCUUUCCCCAGCACUCUGUGAAGCCUGGGAAGAAUCAGAAGCCUCAGUGGCUGGCAAGACAGUCAGAAUUCCCUGAAAGCAUUUGGGUACUGUGUGAAGCUGUAGCCAGCCCCACGAGUCAGGAGAUAAUUUUGUGAGUAAGUAUUUCAAGCCUCUUGUAAUUCACCAUUGCUUUCUGCCAUGAGCAGAAAGGAGCUCCCUGAGUCUGUCGAGUGGACAAGCGGUGUACUGACCACAAGAACCUUCUCUUCCCAUUCAGUUAAUGACUAUAUAUUUUUGCUAGUUAUUUUUGGAUCUACUUAUUCCUCUCUCUAACGUUUCCAUGACUAUGCAAAGAACCAAUUAUUAUUAAAAUUAGUGGUCAAGGGUGGCAAGAGUUCUGAAUACCCAAAUUAAUAAAUGAUUCAUUUUUGUGAUGGUUUGGGUGUUACACCCCACACACACACUUUAGAAAUCACCCAGACUAGACUCAUCCAGCUCUGGAAAUGGAAUGAAGCUUUUCUGUUUACAGCUUAGCACAAUGUACAAGCAGAUAGUUACAGUAUAUACAGGUAUAGAUAGAAAUACACAAGGUAAAAGGUAACACGGAACCACAACAGCCCUCCCAGAAACCUGAGUCCCCAGGAGGGGCUCCCAACCACCCUUCCUCCUUCUCCCACCCCUCUCUACAUUACCCCAGGCAUUGCCUUGUGCCCAAGGAAGAAUGGAGGGUUGGCCAGGGGGUGUAGGAAGCAGGUGGAUUAAUUAGGUUAGGUUACAGACAGAAAUGCAGCUCAAAACCCAGGCAGUGAUCGAAUGUCUUAGUUAUGUUUGGAUUCCUGCUCUUAGACAUCUCAGCAAGCCUAUGGGUGAGGUAGGCAUCACCAGUGUUUCAUAGCCUGUAAUCUAGGGGUGUGGCAGUGUUGGUUCUCUUACUGUGGUGUGAAAGCUCAGCUCUGUUCUGGUUCAGCAGGUGUCCAUAGCCCAGCCAGCUCCAUCACUGCAGCUCCUGAAGCUACAGCAGUGAUGCUCACAGCUCUGAGUCCAGCUGUAGAAGAAGCAGUCAGUCUAGCCAGAGUAAAAGCCAGAUGUGGGGCUGCACAAGCUCUCCACAACCUCUGAAAGUACAAAGGGAAGAGGAUGACCGUGGAUUGGCAACAGUACAGAUGGCUUCGCUGGCAUGGGAGGAACCUCUUUGGAUGGCUGCAGAGUGAGGCUGUGGGCCCUGCCCCACAAAACAGUAAACCACAUCAGUUAUGGAAUCCUGUACAGCACAGGAAUGGUGCAUAGCCGUUUGAUCCAGCUUUUGCUCUCCAUUCUUACUGUCUUGAGCACUGCCUUGGAACAACUCCAGUACCAGGGUUCAUUGCUCUGCUGAAGUCACCCAUUGCGCCUUGGGCUCCUACCGUCUCCUGAUCCAGUGCAGGCAGAGAUACAAGGCACUUUAUGGAAGCUUCGUUUCGUCAAAGAGACAGAAUUCAGCUCUUUGAUCCCAUUUUUCCCUGCUAAAGAUCCCGCACGGAGCCUCCUUUAUACGAUCGGAAUUUGCGAAGGUCUGCAGAGGAUAGGACAAGAGUUCUUGUGUCUUGCUGCAGUUUGGGUUGCUGGCCUCAAAAACAACGUAUGUGCACCCACUUUCACAUAGUGGAACCUUCUUCCCUGAAAGGGUUCUCAAACACUGGAACAGCCCCCCCCCCCAAGGAGGUAGAUGAAGCCCUGUCCUUGGAGGGGUUUCAAAGACACACAGAUGUGGUCCUGAAGGCCACGGUUUCACACCAGACUUGGCAGAGUUAGAGAUUGGUUUGACUCAUGUGAUCUUAAAAAGCUUUUCCAACAAAACAAGUCUGAUUCUACUUCCUUAUGGGUGUGCUCCAACAAACAUGGACUUUGUUCUGAAGAAGUGCUCUGGUCAUGUGCCAAAACCGAGAACGUAAACCUUCACUUUCCUGCCCCAACAAACUGGGAGCAGCAGCAGCAGCUGCUAAUAAACACUUCCUUUACCUGUCUGAAGAGGAA